This 456-nucleotide ribosomal RNA is filed under the name uncultured Allobrachymonas sp. Its description in RNAcentral is "bacterial SSU rRNA". It matches the Rfam family "Bacterial small subunit ribosomal RNA", at positions 923 to 1382 of the family's 1533-position model. The record is from RNAcentral. Lineage: Bacteria; Pseudomonadati; Pseudomonadota; Betaproteobacteria; Burkholderiales; Comamonadaceae.
GCACAAGCGGUGGAUGAUGUGGUUUAAUUCGGUGCAACGACGAAAAACCUUACCCACCUUUGACAUGGCAGGAAUCCCGAAGAGAUUUGGGAGUGCUCGAAAGAGAACCUGCACACAGGUGCUGCAUGGCUGUCGUCAGCUCGUGUCGUGAGAUGUUGGGUUAAGUCCCGCAACGAGCGCAACCCUUGCCAUUAGUUGCUACGAAAGGGCACUCUAAUGGGACUGCCGGUGACAAACCGGAGGAAGGUGGGGAUGACGUCAAGUCCUCAUGGCCCUUAUAGGUGGGGCUACACACGUCAUACAAUGGCCGGUACAGAGGGUAGCCAACCCGCGAGGGGGAGCCAAUCCCACAAAGCCGGUCGUAGUCCGGAUCGCAGUCUGCAACUCGACUGCGUGAAGUCGGAAUCGCUAGUAAUCGCGGAUCAGCAUGUCGCGGUGAAUACGUUCCCGGGUCUU